UAGGGAAUCUUCCGCAAUGGACGAAAGUCUGACGGAGCAACGCCGCGUGAGCGAUGAAGGCCUUCGGGUCGUAAAGCUCUGUUGUUAGGGAAGAACAAGUAUCGGAGUAACUGCCGGUACCUUGACGGUACCUAACCAGAAAGCCACGGCUAACUACGUGCCAGCAGCCGCGGUAAUACGUAGGUGGCAAGCGUUGUCCAGAAUUAUUGGGCGUAAAGCGCGCGCAGGCGGUCCUUUAAGUCUGAUGUGAAAGCCCACGGCUCAACCGUGGAGGGUCAUUGGAAACUGGGGGGACUUGAGUACAGAAGAGGAAAGCGGAAUUCCACGUGUAGCGGUGAAAUGCGUAGAGAUGUGGAGGAACACCAGUGGCGAAGGCGGCUUUCUGGUCUGUAACUGACGCUGAGGCGCGAAAGCGUGGGGAGCAAACAGGAUUAGAUACCCUGGUAGUCCACGCCGUAAACGAUGAGUGCUAAGUGUUAGAGGGUUUCCGCCCUUUAGUGCUGC
RNAcentral lists this ribosomal RNA (504 nucleotides) under uncultured Bacillota bacterium. RNAcentral describes it as "bacterial SSU rRNA". It matches the Rfam family "Bacterial small subunit ribosomal RNA", at positions 355 to 849 of the family's 1533-position model. Lineage: Bacteria; Bacillati; Bacillota. The record is from RNAcentral.